RNAcentral lists this ribosomal RNA (689 nucleotides) under Klebsiella oxytoca. RNAcentral describes it as "partial 23S ribosomal RNA". It matches the Rfam family "Bacterial large subunit ribosomal RNA", at positions 2242 to 2925 of the family's 2925-position model. Lineage: Bacteria; Pseudomonadati; Pseudomonadota; Gammaproteobacteria; Enterobacterales; Enterobacteriaceae. RNAcentral also lists the same sequence under 2 other names. The record is from RNAcentral.
GGGUUGCGGACAGUGUCUGGUGGGUAGUUUGACUGGGGCGGUCUCCUCCUAAAGAGUAACGGAGGAGCACGAAGGUCAGCUAAUCCUGGUCGGACAUCAGGAGGUUAGUGCAAUGGCAUAAGCUGGCUUGACUGCGAGCGUGACGGCGCGAGCAGGUGCGAAAGCAGGUCAUAGUGAUCCGGUGGUUCUGAAUGGAAGGGCCAUCGCUCAACGGAUAAAAGGUACUCCGGGGAUAACAGGCUGAUACCGCCCAAGAGUUCAUAUCGACGGCGGUGUUUGGCACCUCGAUGUCGGCUCAUCACAUCCUGGGGCUGAAGUAGGUCCCAAGGGUAUGGCUGUUCGCCAUUUAAAGUGGUACGCGAGCUGGGUUUAGAACGUCGUGAGACAGUUCGGUCCCUAUCUGCCGUGGGCGCUGGAGAAUUGAGGGGGGCUGCUCCUAGUACGAGAGGACCGGAGUGGACGCAUCACUGGUGUUCGGGUUGUCAUGCCAAUGGCAUUGCCCGGUAGCUAAAUGCGGAAGAGAUAAGUGCUGAAAGCAUCUAAGCACGAAACUUGCCCCGAGAUGAGUUCUCCCUGACUCCUUGAGAGUCCUGAAGGAACGUUGAAGACGACGACGUUGAUAGGCCGGGUGUGUAAGCGCAGCGAUGCGUUGAGCUAACCGGUACUAAUGAACCGUGAGGCUUAACCUU